This 3106-nucleotide small RNA is filed under the name Pongo abelii (Sumatran orangutan). RNAcentral's name for it is "retained intron". The record is from RNAcentral. Lineage: Eukaryota; Metazoa; Chordata; Mammalia; Primates; Hominidae.
AGACCGGCUCGGGGACGGGGAGCGGGCGGCGCGGCCAUGGCGGGCUGCUGCGCCGCGCUGGCGGCCUUCCUGUUCGAGUACGACACGCCGCGCAUCGUGCUCAUCCGCAGCCGCAAAGUGGGGCUCAUGAACCGCGCCGUGCAGCUGCUCAUCCUGGCCUACGUCAUCGGGUGGGUGUUUGUGUGGGAAAAGGGCUACCAGGAAACUGACUCCGUGGUCAGCUCUGUUACGACCAAGGUCAAGGGCGUGGCUGUGACCAACACUUCUAAACUUGGAUUCCGGAUCUGGGAUGUGGCGGAUUAUGUGAUACCAGCUCAGGAGGAAAACUCCCUCUUCGUUAUGACCAAUGUGAUCCUCACCAUGAACCAGACCCAGGGCCUGUGCCCCGAGAUUCCAGAUGAGACCACUGUGUGUGAAUCAGAUGCCAACUGUACUGCCGGCUCUGCCGGCACCCACAGCAACGGUACGAGCUUGCAGCCUCCUGGGGAGGGCAGCCCCUGAGCAGAUCGCCCCCACUGUGGAGGCUCUCUGAUAGAGAAAUCCUCCCAAUUCCUUCACAUGAUGCUGGGUGAGCCAGGUGUCGAGGUUGGGGUCCUGGAACCCCCUCUACAUUCACUGCUGUCAUUGGAGCCCCACAAGCCAUCCCAGCUCUUGCCCUACUGUUUUUUUGUUUUGUUUUGUUUUGUUUUGUUUUGUUUUGAGCCAGAGUCUCUCUCUGUCCCCCAAGCUGGAGUGCAGUGGCAUGAUCUCGGCUCACUGCAACCUCCACCUCCCAGGUUCAAGCAAUUCUCCUGCCUCAGCCUCCUGAGUAGCUGGGAUUACAGGCAUGUGUCACCACGCCCAGCUAAUUUUUGUACUUUUGGUAGAGAUGGGGUUUUACCAUGCUGGCCAGGCUGGUCUCAAACUCCUGACCUCAGGUGAUCCACCCGCCUUAGCCUCCCAAAGUGCUAGGAUUACAGGCACGAGCCACUGUGCCUGGCCUCUUGUCCCAUUCUUUAGCUUGGCAUCACCCUGGCUGAGAUGUGGCCAGCACACAGGUGACUGUCUUCCUCCGAUUCUAACUCCUGGACACUGACACUGUCUAAAUCCCAGAUUUGCACAGCUCAAGACUGGCUGGAUGGGGCUCUCACUCCCUACUCCAAAAAGGUAGAAAAUAGGAGACCCCUGUGGACGUGGGACCCACCCCCCACCCUUGUGCUUGUAGGAGUCUCAACAGGCAGAUGCGUAGCUUUCAACCGGUCCGUCAAGACGUGUGAGGUGGCAGCCUGGUGCCCGGUGGAGGAUGACAAACACGUGCCACAUAGAGACGGGGUUUUGCCAUGUUGGCCAGGCUGGUCUCCAACUCCUGACCUCAAGUGAUCCACCUGCCUUGGCCUCCCAAAGUGCUGGGAUUACAGGCGGGAGCCACCACACCCAGCCAGAAGCCACCACACCCAGCCGGAAGCACCUUCAACUCUGGGUGUCAGCCUUGAGCAGAGACCUGCUUUUUUAAAGGCUGCAGAAAACUUCACUCUUUUGGUUAAGAACAACAUCUGGUACCCCAAAUUUAAUUUCAGCAAGAGGAAUAUCCUUCCCAACAUCACCACUACUUACCUCAAGUCCUGCAUUUAUGAUGCUAAAACAGAUCCCUUCUGCCCCAUAUUCCGUCUUGGCAAAAUAGUGGAGAACGCAGGACACAGCUUCCAGGAUAUGGCCGUGGAGGGAGGCAUCAUGGGCAUCCAGGUCAACUGGGACUGCAACCUGGACAGAGCUGCCUCCCUCUGCUUGCCCAGGUACUCCUUCCGCCGCCUUGAUACACGGGACGUCGAGCACAACGUGUCUCCUGGCUACAAUUUCAGGUUUGCCAAGUACUACAAAGACCUGGCUGGCAACGAGCAGCGCACGCUCAUCAAGGCCUACGGCAUCCGCUUCGACAUCAUCGUGUUUGGGAAGGCAGGGAAAUUUGACAUCAUCCCCACUAUGAUCAACAUCGGCUCUGGCCUGGCGCUGCUAGGCAUGGCGACCGUGCUGUGUGACAUCAUAGUCCUCUACUGCAUGAAGAAAAGACUCUACUAUCGGGAGAAGAAAUAUAAAUAUGUGGAAGAUUACGAGCAGGUAGGCCCCUCCUGGCCCCCAGCAGGCACAGGCCUCUCAUCUCCCGGGUGUGGGAGCCCUGGGCGUGGGCCUGUCUGGGGAGGCCCUUCUGCAGAGGCUGGCACAAGUGUGGUGUGGUGUCCCCCUGUUAACCCGGGCAGUCCUGCCACUCUCAGCAGCUGCUCCAUCCCUAGGCCCCUGCACUAGAUUGACUCUUUAAACCCAGCCUCGUUUCAAUGAGCGACAUCUCAAGUUGGUGAUGAUAAUACAUGCUCUGAGAACACCUGUGUGCACACACUACUUCAGUGCACCUUGCGGAACAGGAAGGGUUGGGUUCCAGGCCUGGGACCAACUUGAGAACCCCUGGCAGUGAAGUCCCGGGAGCGCAUCUCCCUCCCGCCUGCCGCAAGGGGUCCCGGGGGCACCUUGAUCUGCUUGUGUCCUUCUUUGCAGGGUCUUGCUAGUGAGCUGGACCAGUGAGGCCUACCCCACACCUGGGCUCUCCACAGCCCCAUCGAAGAACAGGAGGAGGAGGAGGGAGAAAAGGCCGCCACAUCACCCCAGAGAAAUUUCUGGAAUCUGAUUGAGUCUCCACUCCACAAGCACUCAGGGUUCCCCAGCAGCUCCUGUGUGUUGUGUGCAGGAUCUGUUUGCCCACUCAGCCCAGGAGGUCACCAGUCUGUUCUUGGCUGGAUCAACUCUGCUUUUCCCACAACCUGGGGUUGUUGGGGGAGCGCUGGCCCGAGGCAGUGGCACUGCUGUGGCUUUCAGGGCUGGAGCUGGCUUUGCUCAGAAGCCUCCUGUCUCCAGCUCUCUCCAGGACAGGCCCAGUCCUCUGAGGCACGGCGGCUCUGUUCAAGCACUUCAUGCGGCAGGGGAGGACGCCUGGCUGCAGUCACUAGACUUGUAGUAGGCCUGGGCUGCAGGCUUCCCCCGACCAUUCCCUGCAGCCAUGCGGCAGAGCUGGCAUUUCUCCUCAGAGAAGCGCUGUGCUAAGGUGAUCGAGGACCAGACAUUAAAGCGUGAUUUUCUU